CACUAUGUUUCGAAACAAAAACACAUAACCUAAAUUCUUAUCUUGUUCUUUCUGUAGAUUACUCCCCUCCUUCACCGGCAAGAGACGAUUUUACAGAAAAUGAUGAUGAUUCGAUUGCGUCUUCAUUUGAAACGCCAUUGCCUAUCUCUACUGGGGACGGUGACCGAAGAGAGAGAGAAACCAUACCAAUCUGGGCAAAGAAUAUCAACGCGACAUUGGAGGUUCUGCUCCGAAGGCUUGAGACUGUUGAGCAGAAUCAGAGAGAGGCUCUAUUAUUGCUACGGGCAAAUCGACAUGGGGACCCUGGGGAAGCUAGUGUCGAGUUACUGCAGGCGCAAACUCAGGCCGAACUACAGGAACUUGAGGAGCACCUUAAAAAUAGAGAUUUCACAAAAAAAAUGAUUUCCCAUCUGAGCCUAGUUGGGGGGUCCAAUCCUGGGGAGUGUGUGAGGAGGGUGUUGCGCUCUGUGGCCUCAAACUUUGUUUGGAGCAGCUACAGCCUUAGGGGAAAGAAGGGGAAGAUGCCACUGCUUGGCACAGCAGUGGGCAGUACCAUCAAACAGGCGAUCAUGAAAUGGAAGCCGGGGCUGGAAGAGAAGGAGGUGGAGCUUCUGAUGGCAGAGGUCUUGAAACAUGCCCCCUCAGCCCACUCCAAAAGUUUGAAGGGUUGGAUGGAACGGCAGGCGGAAGAACAUCCCCAAAAUUGAAUUCAAAAUUAUUUGAAAUAAAAAUAUAAUAAAUUGAUAUUUGUUAGUGUACUGUCUUGUCUUUUGAAUAGGCUUGGGGUCCACAUUAGCAACAGCCACCAGCCAAAAUGUAGGUAAAAUAUUUAUGUGGCUUGUAGAUUUCAGACUAGAUUUUGUGGGUUCUAUA
Long non-coding RNA from Gadus chalcogrammus (walleye pollock), 873 nucleotides. RefSeq lists it as uncharacterized. The transcript is spliced from 7 exons. NCBI's taxonomy places the organism in Eukaryota, Metazoa, Chordata, Actinopteri, Gadiformes, Gadidae. The record is from RefSeq and is a predicted model, not a curated record.